This 18-nucleotide small nuclear RNA is filed under the name Arabidopsis thaliana (thale cress). RNAcentral describes it as "snRNA_19291". Lineage: Eukaryota; Viridiplantae; Streptophyta; Magnoliopsida; Brassicales; Brassicaceae. The record is from RNAcentral.
UUCAUCUCAUCAUUGCAU